RNAcentral lists this ribosomal RNA (445 nucleotides) under uncultured bacterium. RNAcentral describes it as "partial 16S ribosomal RNA". It matches the Rfam family "Bacterial small subunit ribosomal RNA", at positions 354 to 796 of the family's 1533-position model. The record is from RNAcentral.
GUAAGGAAUAUUGGUCAAUGGACGAAAGUCUGAACCAGCCAUGCCGCGUGAAGGAUGAAGGCCCUCUGGGUUGUAAACUUCUUUUAUCUGGGACGAAAAAAGGGUAUUCUUACUCACUUGACGGUACCAGAGGAAUAAGCACCGGCUAACUCCGUGCCAGCAGCCGCGGUAAUACGGAGGGUGCAAGCGUUAUCCGGAUUCACUGGGUUUAAAGGGUGCGUAGGUGGGUAUUUAAGUCAGUGUUGAAAUCUCCUAGCUUAACUCGGAAACUGCCAUUGAUACUAUUUACCUUGAAUGCCCUGGAGGUAAGCGGAAUAUGUCAUGUAGCGGUGAAAUGCUUAGAUAUGACAUAGAACACCAAUUGCGAAGGCAGCUUACUACGGGGUGAUUGACACUGAGGCACGAAAGCGUGGGGAGCAAACAGGAUUAGAAACCCGUGUAGUCC